Molecule: long non-coding RNA, 1351 nt
Filed under: Apteryx rowi (Okarito brown kiwi)
Lineage: Eukaryota; Metazoa; Chordata; Aves; Apterygiformes; Apterygidae
Description: lncRNA (ENSARWG00000001684.1)
Source: RNAcentral
GCUCGCCGCUGCUUUGCAUCCGGCCCGCCCGCGGCGCGGGGAUCGGACGCCGCUGCUCGGAUGAAUUUCCCACCCGUGAGCGCUGAUACGGUUAUCUCUGCUCUGCAGACGGAGAGUCCGAAGCACUGAGGAUAAGUGACUUGUCCAAGGUGACUUCGCAGCCGAGUCCGGGAGAGGACUCUGAAGUCCUGCCUCCAGCCCCCUGCCCUGCCUGCAUCGGUCGCUAACAUCACCAGAGCUUCCUCCUGCGAGCGCUGCGGCUGCAUCGCGCUUUGCCCUGCUCCGCUCGGCUGCUCUGCGAGCAGGGACCGCUGCUACCUGCCUGCUAACGUGAACCGGGGGAAUAGCCGUAGGGAAGCAAUGCRCUGCUUGAACACAGCCGCCAGCACGCCCGCCGACAGGUCGUUCUUUUUACAGUCUAUUUGGGAAACAACCAUUUGCAUGCGCUUCUCCCCAGCUCGGGGACGAACCCAUACCGCAGGGCCACCGCUUGGAGCAUGACACCCAGACCCGUGCCUGGGGACACCCGAAAUCCCCCGGCUGCCUGGAGAAGGAAGGAGGUUUGCAGCCAUUCCCCUCCCUGCCGCAGGCCCCRCUGGGGCUGCUUCCAAGCCACCUGCAUCCGCCAGCACCCGCCGGCYGCACUCCUGCUCCUUGGUAACAUAUCGCUUCUGUCUUCCUGAGACCACAGCAUGACAGGAACAAGAUCAGCCUCCAUUUGCCCCACACAUUCAAUUCAGAUUACGCUCAUGAUGUUAUAAUGGUGGCAGACAGGAUUAAAAAUGUUACAAGCUGCAAGGAGUCAUCUUUCCUGUUUGCACAUCUCCAUCGCCUUCGCCUUGGAGGUAUCAGUGGGGAAGACCAACACUGUGAUGGCUCUGAAUGGCUCCAAUGUCCUGCUGCCCUGCAUCUUCACCACCUGCAUAGGCUUCCAGGACCUGGUCUUCACAUGGUAUUUCAACUCGACAGAGAUGAUUUACCACGGCAAGAUCAAGAGCAAGGCCUCGGAGCCCUCCCUCGUGGGACGCAACCCCCGGGUCGAGUUCGUCGGCUCGACCACCGGGAAGGACAACAACAUCUCCAUAGUGCUGAGCGAAGUGGAUUUCAGCGAUGCCGGGAAAUACACGUGCCACGUCAAGAACCCCAAGGAGAAGAACGCGCAGCACAGCGCCUCCAUCUUCCUCACCGUCGUCCACAAGAUGGUGGAGACGGACAACACCUUGACGCUCAUCAUCGUAAGCGUCGUGGGGGGCGUCAUCGGCUUUCUCGUCUUCUUCAUGCUGGUCAAGAAAGUUAUCCUCUUCAUCAUCAAGAAGAUGCAGGACAGGAAGUGAGUAUGGACGCGUGCCGC